RNAcentral lists this ribosomal RNA (551 nucleotides) under uncultured Diversispora. RNAcentral describes it as "SSU rRNA". It matches the Rfam family "Eukaryotic small subunit ribosomal RNA", at positions 548 to 1098 of the family's 1831-position model. Lineage: Eukaryota; Fungi; Glomeromycota; Glomeromycetes; Diversisporales; Diversisporaceae. The record is from RNAcentral.
UUGGAGGGCAAGUCUGGUGCCAGCAGCCGCGGUAAUUCCAGCUCCAAUAGCGUAUAUUAAAGUUGUUGCAGUUAAAAAGCUCGUAGUUGAACUUCGGGGUUUACCCAUUGGUCAGGCUUAAUUGUCUGUACUGGUGAGAUGAAUCUCUACCUUCUGAGGAACUUUCAUGCCAUUUAUUUGGUGUGAUGGGAAAUCAGGACUGUUACUUUGGAAAAAUUAGAGUGUUUAAAGCGGGCUAACGUCUGAAUACAUUAGCAUGGAAUAAUGAAAUAGGACGGACUGAUUCUAUUUCGUUGGUUUCUAGGAUCACCGUAAUGAUUAAUAGGGAUAGUUGGGGGCAUUAGUAUUCAAUUGUCAGAGGUGAAAUUCUUGGAUUUAUUGAAGACUAACUACUGCGAAAGCAUUUGCCAAGGAUGUUUUCAUUAAUCAAGAACGAAAGUUAGGGGAUCGAAGACGAUCAAAUACCGUCGUAGUCUUAACCAUAAACUAUGCCGACUAGGGAUCGGACGAAGUUAAUUUUAUAAUGACGCGUUCGGCGCCUUACGGGAAAC